CGAAGAAUAGUUUAGUUUAGAAUCCUGGCUUUGGGAGUCAGGGGUAGGGGUUGAAAUCCUCGA
This 63-nucleotide transfer RNA is filed under the name Oryzias uwai. RNAcentral's name for it is "tRNA-Pro". The record is from RNAcentral. Lineage: Eukaryota; Metazoa; Chordata; Actinopteri; Beloniformes; Adrianichthyidae.